Molecule: long non-coding RNA, 270 nt
Filed under: Mytilus galloprovincialis (Mediterranean mussel)
Lineage: Eukaryota; Metazoa; Mollusca; Bivalvia; Mytilida; Mytilidae
Source: RNAcentral
CGGGCGGGUUCAUACCAAGAACAUUUUCAAAAUAAUUUAACAUUUAUUCGUUGUCCACUACACACUUUGAUUUCUUUUUUGGGCAUGUUUGCAAUUGUCAUGGAACCAUUCAUUAUUUGGACAAAUUUUAAGAUUUAUGUUUUUAUGGGUAGAAACUGAGUGUUCAAACACUUUGAAAGCGCUAUCGUACACAAUUUGAGUUAUCUCACUUACGGUGUUAUGUAUAUCCACAUCUGAAAUAAUCAUCAUAAUAUUAUUUACAACCGACAA